CGCCUCUAGCAAAACCAGUAUUAGAGGUACUGCCUGCCCAGUGAUAAAUUUAACGGCCGCGGUAUUUUGACCGUGCAAAGGUAGCAUAAUCACUUGUCUUCUAAAUAAAGACUAGUAUGAACGGCAAAACGAAGGUUUAACUGUCUCCUUUGUCCACUCAAUGAAAUUGAUCUCACAGUACAAAAGCUGUGAUUAGACAACAAGACGAGAAGACCCUAUGGAGCUUAAAACUUACUAAAAAUUGUAAUAAAUUUAUUAAUUUAAUACACUAAUUUUAUACUGUUUUUGGUUGGGGCGACCACGGAGAAUACAUAUCCUCCGAGAUGAUACAUCAGGAAACAAUCCAAAACUUCAGAAAACUGACAUAAUUGACCCAAUAACUUUGACCAACGAACCAAGUUACCCUAGGGAUAACAGCGCAAUCCUCUUCAAGAGCCCCUAUCGACAAGAGGGCUUACGACCUCGAUGUUGGAUCAGGAUAACCUGACAGUGCAACCGCUGUCAAAGGUUUGUUUGUUCAACAAUUAAAAUCCU
RNAcentral lists this ribosomal RNA (534 nucleotides) under Ichthyophis glutinosus (Ceylon caecilian). RNAcentral's name for it is "partial 16S ribosomal RNA". It matches the Rfam family "Bacterial large subunit ribosomal RNA", at positions 1817 to 2597 of the family's 2925-position model. Lineage: Eukaryota; Metazoa; Chordata; Amphibia; Gymnophiona; Ichthyophiidae. The record is from RNAcentral.